UAGCCUUAGUGGAUGACCAUGUUGUAGUGA
This 30-nucleotide non-coding RNA is filed under the name Mus musculus (house mouse). Lineage: Eukaryota; Metazoa; Chordata; Mammalia; Rodentia; Muridae. The record is from RNAcentral.